Bos taurus (domestic cattle) is the source of this 6667-nucleotide long non-coding RNA. Lineage: Eukaryota; Metazoa; Chordata; Mammalia; Artiodactyla; Bovidae. The record is from Ensembl.
GUGAGUCUUUCCAUAUGUCUCGCAUGAAAAUUGAAAAUGACCCUUUAAUGUAGUCCAGAAUCCCCACGGAACAUUUUUAUUGUUUCAAAAGAGAAAAGGAAAAACGUAAACUAGGUCGAACGUCACGGGGUUUCUAAUCCAAAUGAACAAAGCAGGAGAACUCACCCCCAAAAUUAAGUCAAGAACCCAUCUCAGUGGGAAACAGGUGGGGCUGUGCGUCCAAGUGGACCUUUAAUAAGCACAAGCUGAUGAGGGUGGUGGUAGUAACAGGGAUUUUGAAACUGUUGAAUUGGAGGAGAGAGGCUGCCAAACUCCUGAGAGAUCCUUUAAAAUAAUUCUCAGUAUUUACUAUGGGAUUUGACACAUACAGUGCAAAACAGUUGGGGAAGAUAAUGAACAAGCCAUUCCCUCCCAGGACUGGCUCUACACACUCCACAGUGGAGUAGCUAACAGUGUUCCCUCGUGCCCUGUCCCUCAAUACAGCCCCUCCCACAGAUAAAUGAAAUUCCACUGUUAGAGAUUCUUUCCUUUGGAUUAAACAUUAUUAGUCAAUCAUGGGUAGAGAACAGAUUUCUUCCAGAUCUCCAGAAGACUAACAGUUCCAUUUUAUUUCCAUCCUAUUGUGGUGCUUCUGCAGGAGAGUAUGGAGGUAUAUUUAGUUUCAGAAUGCCUCAGAAUUCUAAAGUCAAAAGGAACCUUGGAAGCGAAGGAGGCCAAGUGUCUUCACCUGGGAGGGAGCUGAGGGCCAGAGAGGACAGAUGUGUGAGGCGGGCUUUGGCCCCUACCCCGUGGUCAGUCUCCCCUGAACCUUGGCAGAGGCGGUUUUCCAAAGCCUACACAUGGUUGCUUCUCUAGUCCACAGUCUUUCUAGGUUGACACGACAGUCCAGCCAAACACAAGGGCUUUGCGUUCCAGACAAGAAGUCGGUCCCACAGAGCUCCGCGAUCAAGGCAAGAAGCCAGCUCCCACUUCCUCCAUCUGGGAGCUGAAAAUGCUGCUUAUGUUCCUUGCAGAAAUCAAAGUGUGAACCCCCAUUCCCUACCACAACCCGUGGGAUGUAUAUGAACAGCCCCAGUGGGCAGCCAUAGCAACCAUUAGCUUAAAACCUGUUGAAACAGAGAAGUUGAAUUGGGAAGGAAAAGCAAAUCCCGUCCAGGCAUCCUGUUCUUGGGUGAAGAGAAGCAAAAGAGUUGAAGAAAACCUGAAGGUAAACCUCAGGGCAUCAUCCCACCUGGAUAGAGAGAUGAACCGGGCGCGGUGCUGUCAAGUCUUCUCCCUGGACCGCUGCUUCUGCCCACAUAACCAGCCUUCUUGGCAGAUUCCAGGGCUCUCCCUGCCAAAAGCCCUGAAGAAAUGAAGUCAGAAAACGAUCGUCAAACUCUGUGAUUCAGAGGUCACCCGCACAUCAUACCAAAACCAGCUAAAGCCACCCCAGAUCCAUAUCCAUGUCUCCCUUCUUCAGACCCAAAGGAGCCUGCAGCUUUCUUCAUUCACUUCUUAUCCUUAACAAGCCACCUGCAUAGGAAGUGCACGUGUAACCUGCAGGAUGGACCAAAGCACAAAGGGCCAUGCUGUAGAGGUUGCCUUUCAACACUUCAGCCAGAGCUGCCACAGAAAGUAGCAGUCACGGGGUUGUUAUAAUCUCUGUAUUAGUUUCUUAUUGCUGCUGUAACAAAUCACUCCAAACGUAGUUGCUUCAAACAACCCAAAUUUAUUAUCUCAAGUCACAAUUUCAGGUAGGCUCAAUUGGUUCUUCUGCUCCAAGUCUCCUGAGGCCAAAGUCAAGGUGUUGGCCAACUUGGGUUCUCAACUGGAGACCCAGGACGAAUCCACUCAGGCUCACUCAGUUGUUGGCAGAGUUCAGUCCCUUGCACCUAUCAGGCUGAGGUCCCCACCUCCCUACUGGCCAUCAGCUGGGGGCUGCUCUGCGCUCUUUAGGGCCAUCGGCACUUCCUGGCAUACUCCCCAGUGGACUGAAUCGGGCUCAAGUGUCCCUCGUGGGAGACACCAGGGGAUGAGCCACCACAAGCCGAGCAAGGCCCAUUUCCUGCCUUCAGGCAGCUCAGAUGGAGAGGGGAGCAGGUAAAGGCCACAGCUGGAGGAGGCACCCACAAAGGCAGAUGAAAAGAACAUGCAAUUCCCCUCUUUCAACAAAUCGAUUUAAUUUAAAGCACAAGCCCCCAUUCCCUUUCUUCCUAGCUGUCCUACUGUGUUUUUGUAGGGAAAGGAAGGAGAAGGCUUAUGAGACACAGACUCUGGGAAGAGGCAUCAUCUGCCUGUGCCGAGUCCCCUGGGAGAGUUCCACACCCAUGUCAGGCCCUGAGGCUUCCUGCUGCAUCAUUCUCACUCCUUCCCAAGGGCCUCUUUUGAGUUUGUAUUGGUUUUGAGUUCCUCCAAAAUCAGGUCGAUCGUUUAUUUGGAGGUGAUACCCACAGUAGUAGGGGAUACAGCAGUGAGACAGGGAAGGGAAAGAAGCUGCCACAGAGCGUGUUAUCACAGUACCCGGUGGGCAAGUGGCAUUCAGUCUUGCCAGGAACUCUGAGAAAGUGGAGAAUGAGUACAUGUGAGGGGCGAGAGAGCUGGGGUAUUGAUCCAUCGGCUCUAUCAGUGCUGACAUCAGGGCUGCUGUGGUCUCAUUUUCCAAGCACACUGGCCUACCAUUGUGCAUGGGCAGAGCAACCAGGGGAAUCCCUCUGGCAAGGAGACGCAGGGGCUGGCAGCUGGUAGACCAGCAGGCAAGGAGAAGGUGCAGUCCAAGAGCUACAGGGGCCAGGGAACACUGACCACUUCUGCUGCAACGCCUGUGUCUGUGUAUCCCGCAUCUGUCCGUGCCAGGCCAGGAGACUGGAAGCUCACUCUAUAAGACUAAGGCCCUUUCUGCCCAGACCCGUCCUGUAGCUGGUUUGCCACUAGACUCUCCCCUCAAGCUCAGAGGCCCUCUGCUCUCAGAUCCAACAAAGCUGCCUGGUUUCCCACCUACCACGGGGCAAGGGCACCACCCCUUCUCAAGGCUCCAUCAGUGUCUACACUCCCCAUCUUCUUCACCUCUCCCUCUGCCCUCCCCACAGCUGGUCUGAGGACCUGCCGUCUCACCUCAGGGAUGGGAAGAGGUCCUCUUCCACCAACACGCGGUGACCUGAAGCUAUCGAUUUUUUGCCAGGGACCUCCCCAUUCCCCACAGGGCUCGGGAAGUCACCCUGUUCACUCAUCACCCUGGUCAACAGCCGUCCUUCUCUUGCAAGGGUAAGCCUGGGAAGAGGGUACUACAACGAAAACCCUUUAAAGGAUUAUCUUAUCUUACAGACACACACUCCAGCAGCCAGAAUCCAAAGCAAAUAAAACAUGUGCCAUCCUGAAGUCCUUUCACAGGAGAGAGGAAUCCCACUGAGGCAAGCAAGGAAAGCAGUGUAAAAGAGGUGGGAACAUGUGCUGUGGGCCUGGAGAGACGAGUGGGCGUCCAGCCAGUGGAGGGGAGGUAUAAAUCAAGGCAGCUGCCUGGGAAGCCCAAACAGGGCAGGAGAGGAGGAGAUGGUCUGUGCACCCGAGAGUGUCAAGCCAAGGUGGGCCUUCCCUGAAUGACAGCAGGGCGGCAGCCAUGGAAUAUUUGCGAGAAAAGCAGUGACCUGAUGAGAUGUAGUGAAGUCAGUAGGAAAACAGCAUAGUGAAUGUGAAAUGGCCUUAGAUUUAAGAUUUGACUCUGGCUUCAAGAAUCUGUGUGUGGAAAGAGAGAAGGUGCAGGGAAGGCAGGAGAGAGGAGAGGGGAAGAAGGCAGAGAGAGAUGGAGAGAGGAGAAAGAAAGCCAGGGAGAGGUGUCCUGAAGACAGAAAAGAGAAGAGAAAGAAAUGUGAGUGAUCAACCAAGCCAGGGAGGGUUUUGAAGUCGGACCAUUCAUCAAGUUUGGGCCUUUCGGUGGGAAAGGGGAGGUGAGGCUUGCCCAGCUAACCAAGGCCCUGUCUGCAGGUGUGAAACCCUCCCUGAGCUCCCCUCUGGCCAGGACGCCAGGUGAGCCCUGGGGAGCCCAGGCCACUUGGGUGAGUGGCUCUUAUGGAAAGAAGGCAAGAGAUUGUAAAGAGCAGGACCAUAUCUGCUGUUCGAAAUGCAUUUCAUUGCCCAGGUGGGACUGACAGCCCUGGGGAUGCCCUGGAGCAGAGAAAUUGUCAGAGGGGAAGGUGCUAGAAGGUGAUAAUUGCUGGGCACAUGGAAUCUGAAUCCACCCCAGCGCCAGCUUCUGGGCUUCAACCAACACAGUCAGCUUCGGAAAGAAUUAGGUCUGAGUUCGCUGGUUGUUCACACUCAGAAACGGAAGCGGAAAAACUUUCAUACAUCUGGUUCUCCCGGCACAAAACCCCCACCCUGUGCGCCGGGAGGCCGUUUAGUAAUGUUAUGGCUCCAUCUACAGCCUGCGGAAGGAUGCUCGCCGCCAGGCUUCCACAAACAGCCGGCCGGCACUGCAAUUAAUGCUAAUUAAAGCCCUUGCCCCCGUCUGCGCCUUUAUCCAACGCAGACUUGGAACUUCGCUGGAAGUUGUUUCAGGCUGAGUCUACAACAGCAGCUGUUCAGAUUAUUCCAGAACCCUUUCAGCCAAAAUUGGUUGGGAGUUUCUAUUUUAAACCCCCGAUUGUUAUGAAUUGCGUUAAAUGUCUUUUUUUCCCCACUCCCUCCACCAGGUUUUAACAAUGGAACAAAGAUGAAAACCCUCAAAAUAGCAAGAUGGCCUUUUCUUUCAUUCAUUCAAGGGAACACUCAGCACCUUCUUUGAGUCAGGUUCCAUGGUAAAGCACAGAGGUAGGUGAGGUAUGAAAACAUCCCGUAACUGACCCAUAAGAACUUUUGAUACUUCCUCUUGUUGGCUGGAACGUUUCCACAUAGGUCAAAAAGAGGAAAGGAGAAAGUCCCAGGUCGCCAGUGGUUGUAGAGCUUGGAACAACCUCCAUAUACAGAGAACAUAAAGUCCUUUGACUCAGGACAAAAUGGAAGCUGAAAGUUCCUUAAAGAGGCUGCCUAAUUGACACUCUCAUCAGUCACCAAUAAAAGGGAAGGCGUGGCAGAAGACUCGAGGAUGUCAGAAAGAAGCACAACCUGAGUAGAGGUGAGGCAGAGACCAGGGUUGCCCAAGGUCAUGGCAAGAGACGAGGUGGAGGGAGCCCUCCCUUUCUGACUGCUGGCUCAGUGGUCAGUCCACGCUGACCAAAAGAGGCUGCUUGUACUAUGCAAGUAAAAUAUGAACGCCCAGGUUGUUGGGGAGCAAGAAGACACUCCGAAUACGAGGUGGAAAGGGGGAGCCGGGAGCAGGAGAAACCGGACUUCCCUUUUAUGUGUUGCUUCAUGCCUCUGCUGGUGAACAGCAGGAGGAGAGAGAAAUGGCUGACUCCAAACCCACAGUUCCUGCCCUGGAGGUUUGUUUUGAUGUCUGAGGCGAAGAGAUCUUCCCAGGAGGAGGCCGAGGGAACACUCAGGCGAAAUGGCACCCUACCCUCAUGUCAACAGCCUCUCGAUUUAGCUGAUGACCGUUUUUGUCUCAUCCAAGAAAACUUCAGAGUCGGUCUAUGCACCCACUCUCCCAACCCACCCAGCCAGCCAGGAUGCUCUUCUGGAGCUAGCCCAGCUGACAGAAUCAGAGCAAACCACCCCCUGGAGGACACUCCGGAGGUCAUCGCAGCCAGCCCCCUGCCUCCAGGCAGGUCUCCCAUAAAUCGUCCUCGACAGAGACUGCCUCGUUGGAGGCCCUUUGCUCGGAGCACCCUGAGCAGCUGAGUAAAGUUUUGUGCUGACUCCGUAGAGCCCCAUCGGUGGCAGCACCCGCCGCCAGCUCAUAAGGGAAUCAUUAGUGAAACGCAGCCCUGUGCGAGGGCCCGAAGGCCUGUGGCAAUUAAUCACCUCUCCUCCCUGGCAGCCCCAGCUGUCUCAGAUGCAGCCAUCCUCCAGGUAGCCCUUUAAUUGUCCCUGGAGAAGGCAGAUGGGUGAGGGGCCACCUGAGCUCACGUUAGCCCAGCAAUCUUCCCAAAUAAAAAGAAAUAUAUAUAUAUAUUUUAGAGUAUUCAAAUAUCUCUUACUUACUUUCCCGAGUCUGUUAUUGAUAUAAAGGUUGAAGCUCAGGCAGCUUAACUGUUAUGUGGAAUGACCUUUAGUUUUAAUAUUAAUAUAUUACCGUAAAGUCUAUGCGAAUCAUGAAUGCAAUUUUGGUAUUCAUAGAAAAUGCCAUACGCUGAACCCAUUGCAACUUUCUUUCCCCCCGCUCUCGUCCUCCAGUAGGCUGCAAACUGGGCGAAUUAAUAUGCGUCAUCUUCUUCUCCCCUUUAUUUACUUAGAGAGGGUGGCCGGGCAACUUUAUCAAGAGUAACAUUAUCAAGAGCUUUCCUGCAAGCUUCUUUAUCAUAUUCACAUCCGAGUCUGCUCGACACUUGUCAGUGUCAAUCAAAUCGCAAUAAUACGCAGAUGAUUUGCUCAUUUGGUUUAAUAAAAUCUUUCUGCUUAUUUGCGGUGCCUCCAUUACACCACAUAAUUGCUGUGCCGCGGAGGUGAAAGGCAGCCAGUUGCCUGGGGGAUAAGAGGAGACGAUUGCUAUAUGAAGGAUUUGUUUCUUUGCCUCUGUCUCUCCCCAGUCACUCAUAUUCCUAAAAUUAAUAUUGUAUUUGAAUCCAGCCCUGCUAUUCUUAUGCAGCCUAAC